AAUAUGGUGAUUAUAAAGAGAACAAUGCAUGCAAAUUCCUCCUCUGAGGAUCUCCUACCUGAUUCCCAGACACACCCAAGGGAGUUAGAACAUCUAUUUGGACUCCAGGUGGGCUGUCCACCCCUUUACCAUUUUCCUGGUUGUUAACAAGUUCCUGAUCAGCAUUGGGUGCUGUCCCAGGUGCUGAGAGGAGUCUCGCACAAUGCCCUUUGCUUUCCCCAUCAGAGGGUUUACGGCACCCAAUUCUCAUUCACAUUCUCUCUCUCUCCUUUCUCGUUCUUCUCUAUCUCUCCUCUCUCUCUCUCCCUCUCUCUCUCUCUCCUUCUUUUUCUCUUCCUCUCUCCCUGUCUUCUCUACCUCUCUCUCCCUCUCUCUUCCUCUCUCUCUUCCUCUCUCUGUCCUUUCUCUCUCUCUCCCCUCUCUCACAUCUCUCUCUUUCCCUUUCUCUUUCCUCUCUUUCUCUCUUCCUCUCUCUCUCCCUCUCCCUCCUUCUGUCUUCCUCUCUCCCUCUCUCUUCCUCUCUCUUCUUGUCUCUUUCUCUCCUCUCUCUCUCUCUCCCUCUCUCUCUCCUUCUUUUUCUCUUCCUCUCUCCCUGUCUUCUCUCCCUCUCUCUCCCUCUCUCUUCCUCUCUUUCUCUCUCUUCCUCUCUGUCCUCUCUUUUCUCCCUGUCUCUCUCUCCCUCUCUCUCUCACAUCUCUCUCUUUCCCUUCCUUUCUCUUUCCUCUCUUUCUGUCUUCCUCUCUCCUCUCCCUCCUUCUCUCUGUCUUCCUCUCUCCCUCUCUCUUCCUCUCUCUCCUUUUUUCUUCCUCUCUCUUCUCGUCUCUUUCUCUCCUCUCUCUCUCCCUCUCUCUCCUUCUCUCUCUCUUCCUCUCUCCCUCCCUCUUCCUCUCUCUCCUUCUUUCUUCCUCUCUCUCUUCUUGUCUCUCUCUCUCUCUCCUCUCUUCUUCUCUCUCUCCCUCUCCCCCCAACUCUCUCUCCCUACACACAUCUUAAGAGGGCUCAGCAGUGUAAGGUAAGUUUAGCGACCCUGAGGCUGUGUAGAGAUAAGCAAAGGGGGGCAAGGAGCUCCAGUUGUCCAGACUCCAGCCGUUUGAGUCUUUCCAGCCCAAGCACCGCCCCAGCUUCUUGACAGCCCCAGCCAUCACCAAAGGGCACACAGAUAAGCUGCCUCCACCAAGGCCUG
Molecule: long non-coding RNA, 1183 nt
Filed under: Pongo abelii (Sumatran orangutan)
Lineage: Eukaryota; Metazoa; Chordata; Mammalia; Primates; Hominidae
Description: lncRNA (ENSPPYG00000032760.1)
Source: RNAcentral